AGCCGGAGUAACAUUUAUAGCUUGCUAAAAAAUGACAAGCGGCGGAGGGGUGAGUAAUGCUUGGGAACAUGCCUUGAGGUGGGGGACAACAUUUGGAAACGACUGCUAAUACCGCAAAAUGUCUACGGACCAAAGGGGGCUUCGGCUCUCCCCUUUAAAUUGGCCCAAGUGGGAUUAGCUAUUUGGUGAGGUAAUGGCUCACCAAGGCGACAAUCCCUAUCUGGUUUGAGAGGAUGAUCACCCACACUGGGACUGAGACACGGCCCAAACUCCUACGGGAGGCACCAGUGGGGAAUAUUGCACAAUGGGCGCAAGCCUGAUGCACCCAUGCCGCGUGUGUGAAAAAGGCCUUCGGGUUGUAAAGCACUUUCACUCAGGAGGAAAGGUUAGUAUUUAAUACCUGCUAUCUGUGACGUUACUGACAAAAAAAACACCGGCUAACUCCGUGCCACCACCCGCGGUAAUACGGAGGGUGCGAGCGUUAAUCGGAAUUACUGGGCGUAAAGCGUACGCAGGCGGUUUGUUAAGCGAGAUGUGAAACCCCCGGGCUCAACCUGGGAACUGCAUUUCAAACUGGCAAACUAGAGUGUGAUAGAGGGUGGUAGAUUUUCAGGUGUAGCGGUGAAAUGCGUAGAGAUCUGAAGGAAUACCGAUGGCGAAGGCACCCACCUGGGUCAACACUGACGCUCAUGUACGAAAGCGUGGGGGAGCAAACAGGAUUAUAUACCCUGGUAGUCCACGCCGUAAACGAUGUCUACUAGAAGCUCGGAACCUCGGUUCUGUUUUUCAAAGCUAACGCAUUAAGUAAACCGCCUGGGAGUACGGCCGCAGGUUAAACUCAAAUGAUUGACGGGGGGCCCGCACAGCGUGAGCAUGUGUUUAUUCGAUGC
This 890-nucleotide ribosomal RNA is filed under the name Pseudoalteromonas sp. RNAcentral's name for it is "bacterial SSU rRNA". It matches the Rfam family "Bacterial small subunit ribosomal RNA", at positions 60 to 957 of the family's 1533-position model. The record is from RNAcentral. Lineage: Bacteria; Pseudomonadati; Pseudomonadota; Gammaproteobacteria; Alteromonadales; Pseudoalteromonadaceae.